RNAcentral lists this ribosomal RNA (402 nucleotides) under uncultured bacterium. Its description in RNAcentral is "bacterial SSU rRNA". It matches the Rfam family "Bacterial small subunit ribosomal RNA", at positions 29 to 431 of the family's 1533-position model. The record is from RNAcentral.
AUUGAACGCUGGCGGCAUGCUUUACACAUGCAAGUCGAACGGUAACAGGGAGCUUGCUCCGCUGACGAGUGGCGAACGGGUGAGUAAUGCAUCGGAACGUGCCGUGUAGUGGGGGAUAACGUAGCGAAAGUUACGCUAAUACCGCAUACGCCCCGAGGGGGGAAAGUGGGGGACCGCAAGGCCUCACGCUAUACGAGCGGCCGAUGUCGGAUUAGCUAGUUGGUAGGGUAAAGGCCUACCAAGGCGACGAUCCGUAGCGGGUCUGAGAGGAUGAUCCGCCACACUGGGACUGAGACACGGCCCAGACUCCUACGGGAGGCAGCAGUGGGGAAUUUUGGACAAUGGGCGCAAGCCUGAUCCAGCCAUGCCGCGUGAGUGAAGAAGGCCUUCGGGUUGUAAAGG